This 205-nucleotide unclassified non-coding RNA is filed under the name plant metagenome. RNAcentral describes it as "partial contains small subunit ribosomal RNA, internal transcribed spacer 1, and 5.8S ribosomal RNA". The record is from RNAcentral.
GUAGGUGAACCUGCGGAAGGAUCAUUAGAGAGACUUUGCCCUUUAGGUAUAUCUCCCACCCUGAUUAUUUUACCUGGUUGCUUUGGCGAACAGACGCUAUAUGCUGAAGCUCGCCAGAGUGUACAUACUCUUGUUUCAUGUAGUCUGAGAAAAAACAAAAUAUUUAAAACUUUCAACAACGGAUCUCUUGGUUCUGGCAUCGAUG